AUUGAACGCUGGCGGCAUGCUUUACACAUGCAAGUCGAACGGCAGCGCGGGCUUCGGCCUGGCGGCGAGUGGCGAACGGGUGAGUAAUGCAUCGGAACGUGCCCAGUAGUGGGGGAUAGCCCGGCGAAAGCCGGAUUAAUACCGCAUACGACCUGAGGGUGAAAGCGGGGGACCGAAAGGCCUCGCGCUAUUGGAGCGGCCGAUGUCGGAUUAGCUAGUUGGUGGGGUAAAGGCUUACCAAGGCGACGAUCCGUAGCUGGUCUGAGAGGACGACCAGCCACACUGGGACUGAGACACGGCCCAGACUCCUACGGGAGGCAGCAGUGGGGAAUUUUGGACAAUGGGGGCAACCCUGAUCCAGCCAUGCCGCGCGAGGGAAGAAGGCCUUCGGGUUGUAAACCGCUUUUGUUCGGGAAGAAAUCCUCUGGGCUAAUACCCCGGGGGGAUGACGGUACCGGAAGAAUAAGCACCGGCUAACUACGUG
This 484-nucleotide ribosomal RNA is filed under the name uncultured bacterium. Its description in RNAcentral is "partial 16S ribosomal RNA". It matches the Rfam family "Bacterial small subunit ribosomal RNA", at positions 29 to 507 of the family's 1533-position model. The record is from RNAcentral.